RNAcentral lists this ribosomal RNA (253 nucleotides) under uncultured bacterium. RNAcentral's name for it is "partial 16S ribosomal RNA". It matches the Rfam family "Bacterial small subunit ribosomal RNA", at positions 524 to 776 of the family's 1533-position model. The record is from RNAcentral.
UACGUAGGGUGCGAGCGUUAAUCGGAAUUACUGGGCGUAAAGUGUGCGCAGGCGGCCGAGCAAGUCGAGUGUGAAAGCCCCGAGCUUAACUUGGGAACUGCGCUCGAAACUACUUGGCUAGAGUGUGGCAGAGGGAGGUGGAAUUCCACGUGUAGCGGUGAAAUGCGUAGAUAUCUGGAGGAACACCGGUGGCGAAGGCGGCAUCCUGGACCGAUACUGACGCUGAGGAGCGAAAGCCAGGGGAGCAAACGGG